This 774-nucleotide ribosomal RNA is filed under the name uncultured bacterium. RNAcentral's name for it is "bacterial SSU rRNA". It matches the Rfam family "Bacterial small subunit ribosomal RNA", at positions 8 to 771 of the family's 1533-position model. The record is from RNAcentral.
AGAGUUUGAUCCUGGCUCAGAGUGAACGCUGGCGGCAGGCCUAACACAUGCAAGUCGAACGGCAGCACAGGGGAGCUUGCUCCCUGGGUGGCGAGUGGCGGACGGGUGAGGAAUACAUCGGAAUCUGCCCAGUCGUGGGGGAUAACCUCGGGAAACCGGGACUAAUACCGCAUACGACCUACGGGUGAAAGCGGAGGACCGCAAGGCUUCGCGCGAUUGGAUGAGCCGAUGUCGGAUUAGCUAGUUGGAGGGGUAAUGGCCCACCAAGGCGACGAUCCGUAGCUGGUCUGAGAGGAUGAUCAGCCACACUGGGACUGAGACACGGCCCAGACUCCUACGGGAGGCAGCAGUGGGGAAUAUUGGACAAUGGGCGCAAGCCUGAUCCAGCCAUGCCGCGUGAGUGAAGAAGGCCCUCGGGUUGUAAAGCUCUUUUGUUGGGAAAGAAAAGCAAUCGGUUAAUACCCGGUUGUCCUGACGGUACCCAAAGAAUAAGCACCGGCUAACUUCGUGCCAGCAGCCGCGGUAAUACGAAGGGUGCAAGCGUUACUCGGAAUUACUGGGCGUAAAGCGUGCGUAGGUGGUUUGUUAAGUCUGAUGUGAAAGCCCUGGGCUCAACCUGGGAAUUGCACUGGAUACUGGCAGGCUAGAGUGCGGUAGAGGAUGGCGGAAUUCCCGGUGUAGCAGUGAAAUGCGUAGAGAUCGGGAGGAACAUCCGUGGCGAAGGCGGCCAUCUGGACCAGCACUGACACUGAGGCACGAAAGCGUGGGGAGCAA